Molecule: ribosomal RNA, 484 nt
Filed under: uncultured bacterium
Lineage: Bacteria
Description: partial 16S ribosomal RNA
Rfam family: Bacterial small subunit ribosomal RNA
Source: RNAcentral
AUUGAACGCUGGCGGCAGGCCUAACACAUGCAAGUCGAGCGGAUGAAGGGAGCUUGCUCCUGGAUUCAGCGGCGGACGGGUGAGUAAUGCCUAGGAAUCUGCCUGGUAGUGGGGGAUAACGUCCGGAAACGGGCGCUAAUACCGCAUACGUCCUGAGGGAGAAAGUGGGGGAUCUUCGGACCUCACGCUAUCAGAUGAGCCUAGGUCGGAUUAGCUAGUUGGUGGGGUAAAGGCCUACCAAGGCGACGAUCCGUAACUGGUCUGAGAGGAUGAUCAGUCACACUGGAACUGAGACACGGUCCAGACUCCUACGGGAGGCAGCAGUGGGGAAUAUUGGACAAUGGGCGAAAGCCUGAUCCAGCCAUACCGCGUGUGUGAAGAAGGUCUUCGGAUUGUAAAGCACUUUAGGUGGGGAGGAAGGGCAGUAAGUUAAUACCUUGCUGUUUUGACGUUACCAACAGAAUAAGCACCGGCUAACUUCGUG